AAUAGAUUGAACUGGCACUUCAGGAUGCUGAGCUGCAGUUUCAGUUGAGCUCUGUGCUUCACAGAGAUUUAUCA
Molecule: non-coding RNA, 74 nt
Organism: Turdus rufiventris (rufous-bellied thrush)
Lineage: Eukaryota; Metazoa; Chordata; Aves; Passeriformes; Turdidae
Source: the annotation of a GenBank genome assembly